Molecule: transfer RNA, 68 nt
Filed under: Brotula barbata (bearded brotula)
Lineage: Eukaryota; Metazoa; Chordata; Actinopteri; Ophidiiformes; Ophidiidae
Description: tRNA-Ser
Source: RNAcentral
GGGAGAGGCAUGACCGCAACGAAACCUGCUAAUUUUCGCCACCUUGGUUAAACCCCAAGGCUCACCCG